UUAAAUUGAAGAGUUUGAUCAUGGCUCAGAUUGAACGCUGGCGGCAGGCCUAACACAUGCAAGUCGAGCGGAAACGAGUUAUCAGAACCUUCGGGGGACGAUAACGGCGUCGAGCGGCGGACGGGUG
RNAcentral lists this ribosomal RNA (127 nucleotides) under Vibrio parahaemolyticus. Its description in RNAcentral is "partial 16S ribosomal RNA". It matches the Rfam family "Bacterial small subunit ribosomal RNA", at positions 1 to 108 of the family's 1533-position model. The record is from RNAcentral. Lineage: Bacteria; Pseudomonadati; Pseudomonadota; Gammaproteobacteria; Vibrionales; Vibrionaceae.